CAGUCGCCACGGGAAUACGGAGGGGGCUAGCGUUGUUCGGAAUUACUGGGCGUAAAGCGCACGUAGGCGGCUUGGUAAGUUAGAGGUGAAAGCCUUGGGCUUAACCUGAGAAUUGCUUUUAAGACUGUCGAGCUAGAAUCCAGAAGAGGGUAGUGGAAUUCCGAGUGUAGAGGUGAAAUUCGUAGAUAUUCGGAAGAACACCAGUGGCGAAGGCGACUACCUGGUCUGGCAUUGACGCUCAUGUGCGAAAGCGUGGGGAGCAAACAGGAUUAGAUACCCCGGUAGUCCCUGUCUCUUAUAC
Molecule: ribosomal RNA, 301 nt
Filed under: uncultured bacterium
Lineage: Bacteria
Description: partial 16S ribosomal RNA
Rfam family: Bacterial small subunit ribosomal RNA
Source: RNAcentral